ACACAUGACUUCAGAAUGCUCAGCCAUUAAUUCAACAGCAGUGAAAUAAAGGAGUCUGUCAUCAGGAAGAAGGUCUGGCUCUACAAAAGGAGUCAUCUACACAUAGGCACAGAAUGUAAAAAUCAAACUGAUUUCCCCUUGACAUGCGAAGCAUGCAAUCUACUCACCUGCAGAGAUAAGCCCAGACCGUGAGUGCUUGAGCUUAUGUCUUUCAGACUAAACCAAACAUAACAAGAAAAUGCCCCAAAGCCAUUAAAAACUUAAACCUAGGAGAUAGAACUGGAGAUGGCUUUGUGAGAGAAAUAAAGCAGAUGCCAGAGGCUGCAGCUGAGUAAGCCACAGGCAGAAGCAGUUGCAAAGUUCUGUGCCCUGUCUAACUUUACAUGUCCUGGUGCUAAUAAGUUCUGGAUCACUGUUGGGCUAAUUACAAGGUAAUUUUUCCAAAUGAAUAUUAUGAUAAGCUUUGAGUGCUAUUUAAUUGGUGGUUUUUCCACCGUUGAAAUAUCAGCUUUUCCUAGGAGAAAAAAAAAAAGAAACUAGCAAGAGAAAAGAGAAAAACAAAGAAAAAAAGGAAAUAUUAUCAACUGGGCAGCUGCACUUGUUAAAACAUGGAUGGGAGAGGAGUUCUUAAAAGUGGACUUUUAUUUAACGUUUUUAUUAGGUUUUUGCUUGUGCUGAAAUCUAGUAAAUUUGAUCACCACUGAAAAAGGACACUCCUCCCCCCUCUCCCCAAAAAAGGAAAAAAAAAACAGCUUGGUAAGAAAGUGGGAAGGAAGAAAUAUACCAUCAUGAUGUGUGUCUGUUGCCCCAAGGCCAUAACAAUUACCUUUCUAAAGCUGGCAUCUAUUAAAACAGCCUCCUUAAGGGUUUGCUAUUUAACCCUUUCCAGGAUGGCUGCCAUGGCCCCAGGGCAAGCAGAGACCAGUUUAUGAAUCAGAGGCAGAAUGACCAAGGGAGGCUUGAACAUUUCAGCUGCUAACUCCUUUAAUGUGGCUCUUUUUAUAGCUGGCACAUUUGCAGUCAGACCAAACAGCCCUGGUGGAAAUGUGGCUUAAAUUGCCCUUCACAAUGCACUGGAUCUAAUGAGCCUACUCCCCUAGCUCAUGUAAUAAGUAGGUGUCAGAACUCCAUACUGCAGAGCCUUUGUGAUCCUCACAGGACAGUUAUCUCAGAACCCUGCGGUGGAGAGACUGGCCCACAGAUUAACAGAUGAAGGCUUCAGAAGGGGGCACUUUUAAACUGCUCCUCUACAAAAUACCCAAUAGAUCACAAAGAAAAGGGGGGGAAGAAUCCUCUUAGAGGCAACUAUGAAAACUUCUGUUACAGCCUGCCUUAAAAUACAACUUCUGCUUACAGCUGAUUCCACCAGCUGUUUCAUAUCAAGUCUGAACGGUUUCUCUAUGACACAGAAAGCUUAGACAACAGGCAAACCUUUCUGCAUUAAAAGGAAGAAAAGAAGGCCCACCUCAAUGAAGAUUAGUCAUGAAAUAUUGUACCUACAACCUGGAGUCACAGACACAACUAUCAUUGUCUUUCCUAAGAGAUGAGUCACCACUAAGCAGGUGACAAAGAGAAUCUCUGAUUUUUUUUUAACAUUUCCAAUAAAGGACUUCCUAAUUCCUCACUGCCUUGUAAAAAGAAGAGAGAACUCAUUUUUCUUAGGAUUAAGCAAACAACUCUACACGGUUAUUUGGAGAUUAACCCAUGUCUGGACUGUGCAGUGAUGUGUGACUAUAAAAGCUAAUGGUGCCCAUCACCCAGCAAAAGCUGGAAUGGAACAAACACACAAGCGAAAAGCACUUGUUAUGUGGGUUAUAAAAUGUUACUGCUCACUGUCACAAAGCGGUGGAAUUAAGUAAGGCAGUGAUUUUCAGUCUUUCUGGUUGCUUUUGUUGACUUUAGUUAGCUAAGAGGAAAGCUGUCAAGGAGCUCUCACAUUUACAAUGUAGCCACAGGAUGACAAAGAAUGCAUUAUAUUCCUAAGGUAGCCUGGAUGAUGUAUUCCACAGAGCUGCCAAGGUAGGGGCAAAGUCCCUUCAACAAUCUCUGAGAUGAUUCUAGGACAAUCUGUACACCACCAUGCCUAAUUGCGGUUAUAAAAAGCUGAAAAAAAAAAAAAAAAAAAAAACAGGAACGUGCUUUGCAUGUUUUUCAGCAUUCAAUCUGACGUGUUUAUAACAUUAAAACUAGGUGAUUGCUUCCCCCGAAACUACAUUACUGUGACUCACCAGCUGGCCAGGUCAAAGUUGUAAAUACUAUCCCUCAGAAGACAUUGUCCGUUUAAUACAAAUACAUAUCCC
Molecule: long non-coding RNA, 2300 nt
Organism: Sarcophilus harrisii (Tasmanian devil)
Lineage: Eukaryota; Metazoa; Chordata; Mammalia; Dasyuromorphia; Dasyuridae
Exons: 3
Source: RefSeq, a predicted model, not a curated record